AACGAACGCUGGCGGCAGGCCUAACACAUGCAAGUCGAGCGGAACCUUCGGGGUUAGCGGCGGACGGGUGAGUAACGGGUGGGAAUAUGCCCUUCUCUACGGAAUAGUCCUGGGAAACUGGGGGUAAUACCGGAUACGCCCUUUGAGGGGAAGAUUUAUCGGGGAAGGAUUAGCCCGCGUUGGAUUAGGUAGUUGGUGGGGUAAUGGCCUACCAAGGCGAGAAUCCAUAGCUGGUUUGAGAGGAUGAUCCGCCACACUGGGACUGGGACACGGCCCAGACUCUUACGGGAGGCAGCAGUGGGGAAUCCUAGACAAGGGGGGCAACCCUGAUGUAGCUAUGCCGCGUGAGUGAUGAAGGCCUUAAGGGUGUAAAGCGCUUUCAGCUGGUAAGAUAAUGACGGUACCAACAGAAGAAGCACCGGCUAACUUCGUG
Molecule: ribosomal RNA, 433 nt
Filed under: uncultured bacterium
Lineage: Bacteria
Description: partial 16S ribosomal RNA
Rfam family: Bacterial small subunit ribosomal RNA
Source: RNAcentral